CAGCCGCCACGGUAAUACGGAGGGUGCGAGCGUUAAUCGGAAUUACUGGGCGUAAAGCGUGCGCAGGCGGUUCGUUAAGACAGAUGUGAAAUCCCCGGGCUUAACCUGGGAACUGCAUUUGUGACUGGCGAGCUAGAGUAUGGCAGAGGGGGGUAGAAUUCCACGUGUAGCAGUGAAAUGCGUAGAGAUGUGGAGGAAUACCGAUGGCGAAGGCAGCCCCCUGGGCCAAUACUGACGCUCAUGCACGAAAGCGUGGGGAGCAAACAGGAUUAGAUACCCCCGUAGUCCCUGUCUCUUAUAC
This 301-nucleotide ribosomal RNA is filed under the name uncultured bacterium. RNAcentral describes it as "partial 16S ribosomal RNA". It matches the Rfam family "Bacterial small subunit ribosomal RNA", at positions 509 to 807 of the family's 1533-position model. The record is from RNAcentral.